This 300-nucleotide ribosomal RNA is filed under the name uncultured fungus. RNAcentral's name for it is "SSU rRNA". It matches the Rfam family "Eukaryotic small subunit ribosomal RNA", at positions 66 to 370 of the family's 1831-position model. Lineage: Eukaryota; Fungi. The record is from RNAcentral.
UAAGCAUUUGUACUGUGAAACUGCGAAUGGCUCAUUAAAUCAGUUAUCGUUUAUUUGAUAGUACCUUACUACAUGGAUACCUGUGGUAAUUCUAGAGCUAAUACAUGCUAAAAACCUCGACUUCGGAAGGGGUGUAUUUAUUAGAUAAAAAACCAACGCCCUUCGGGGCUCCUUGGUGAAUCAUAAUAACUAAGCGAAUCGCAUGGCCUUGCGCCGGCGAUGGUUCAUUCAAAUUUCUGCCCUAUCAACUUUCGAUGGUAAGAUAGUGGCUUACCAUGGUGGCAACGGGUAACGGGGAAU